This 253-nucleotide ribosomal RNA is filed under the name uncultured prokaryote. Its description in RNAcentral is "partial 16S ribosomal RNA". It matches the Rfam family "Bacterial small subunit ribosomal RNA", at positions 525 to 777 of the family's 1533-position model. The record is from RNAcentral.
ACGUAGGGGACAAGCGUUAUCCGGAUUUACUGGGCGUAAAGCGCCCGUAGGCGGCUCAAUAAGUUGGACGUGAAAGCUCCCGGCUUAACUGGGAGAGGCCGUUCAAAACUGUUAAGCUAGAGUGAGGAAGAGGAGAGCAGAAUUCCCGGUGUAGUGGUGGAAUGCGUAGAGAUCGGGAGGAAUACCAGUGGCGAAAGCGGCUCUCUGGUCCUAAACUGACGCUGAGGGGCGAAAGCGUGGGGAGCGAACGGGA